Molecule: long non-coding RNA, 389 nt
Organism: Solanum dulcamara
Lineage: Eukaryota; Viridiplantae; Streptophyta; Magnoliopsida; Solanales; Solanaceae
Exons: 3
Source: RefSeq, a predicted model, not a curated record
AGCAAAAAUUCUAAGGAAAGAAGAAGAGAGUUUCGGCCAAGAUAGAAGGCUUGUUUGGUUGAUUUGGAGCUUUGAUUAAGUGAAGAAGUUAGAAGGAAAAGAUUUUGGAGGAAACGAGAAUUGAAUUUGGACAACCGUAAAAGGUCGAUAGGGUAUGUAAAGUUUUACCUUUUCUUCUCUUGGCAUGUCUUAGGUGUAAUAGGUUUGGAUACGAACCUCGGGGAUGACUCUACUCUUCGGAAUCGACACCUAAAUUUGACCAUUUUCUAUUCAGUAGAAUUGAAUUAAGUAUUUAUGAAUAUUUUUGAAAAAUUAUCUAAACUUCUAGAAUUUGCACAAAUAGGACCCAACUACCUUGAAACUCUUAUAAAUAACGUUAUGAUAUUUAA